UCUACAAUAUAUCUAUCCAUCUAUCUAUCUAUCUAUCUAUCUAUCUAUCUAUCUAUCUAUCUAUCUAUCUAUCUAUCUAUCUAUCUAUCUAUCUAUCUAUCUAUCUAUCUAUCUAUCUAUCUAUCUAUCUAUCUAUCUAUCUAUCUAUCUAUCUAUCUAUCUAUCUAUAUAGCCAAGCCAUUGGUAGGAUUUGUUGAGAUCAGCCACUUCAGUUAUGUUUCGGUGGUACAUCCCGUGUAAGGGCUUGUCCUCCCAUGAUGGUCCCUCUUCCAGCAUCUCAUCCUCUGUACAUGUACCACUGGAACAUAACUGAAGUGGCUGAUCUCAACAAAUCCUACCAAUGGCUUGAAAGGGCUGGGCUGAAGGACAGCACAGAGGCACUCAUCCUGGCUGCACAGGAGCAGGCCCUGAGCACCAGAGCCAUAGAGGCCCAGAUCUACCACACCAGACAAGACCCAAGGUGUAGACUGUGCAAAGAGGCCCCAGAGACGGUCCAGCACAUAACUGCAGGGUGUAAGAUGCUGGCAGGCAAAGCAUACAUGGAACGCCAUAACCAAGUGGCUUGCAUAGUAUACAGGAACAUCUGCGCGGAGUAUGGACUGGAAACCCCAAGGUCAAAGUGGGAAACACCUCCCAAGGUGGUAGAGAACGAGCGAGCCAAGAUCCUGUGGGACUUCCAGAUCCAGACUGACAGAAUGGUAAUGGCAAACCAACCAGACAUUGUGGUGGUGGAUAAAGAGCAGAGGAAAGCCAUAGUGGUGGAUGUGGCAAUACCAAGCGAUGGCAACAUCAGGAAAAAGGAACAUGAGAAACUAGAGAAAUACCAAGGGCUCAGAGAAGAACUGGAGAAGGCUUGGAAGGUGAAGGCCACAGUGGUGCCUGUGGUGAUCGGAGCACUAGGGGCUGUGACCCCCAAACUGGAGGAGUGGCUACUACAGAUCCCUGGAAAAACAUCCGAAAUCUCAGUCCAGAAAAGUGCAGUCCUAGGAACAGCAAGGAUACUGCGCAGAACCCUCAAGCUCCCUGGCCUCUGGUAGAGGACCCGAGCUUGGAAAGUGGAUGAGACCACCCGCGGAGGGUGAGAAUAGAGUGUGUAUAUAUUUAUAUACUGUAUAUCAGG
This 1120-nucleotide long non-coding RNA is filed under the name Betta splendens (Siamese fighting fish). RNAcentral's name for it is "lncRNA (ENSBSLG00000022656.1)". The record is from RNAcentral. Lineage: Eukaryota; Metazoa; Chordata; Actinopteri; Anabantiformes; Osphronemidae.